This is a non-coding RNA of Ictidomys tridecemlineatus (thirteen-lined ground squirrel), 72 nucleotides long. NCBI's taxonomy places the organism in Eukaryota, Metazoa, Chordata, Mammalia, Rodentia, Sciuridae. The record is from Rfam.
UGGGUUGUAGCUCAGAGGUAGAGCACUCACCUACCAUGUGUGAGACACUGGGUUCCAUCCUCAGCACCACAU